Molecule: ribosomal RNA, 660 nt
Filed under: uncultured Bacillota bacterium
Lineage: Bacteria; Bacillati; Bacillota
Description: bacterial SSU rRNA
Rfam family: Bacterial small subunit ribosomal RNA
Source: RNAcentral
GUGGGUAACCUGCCUCAUAGAGGGGGAUAGCCUUCCGAAAGGAAGAUUAAUACCGCAUAAUAUAGUUUAACCGCAUGGUUAGAUUAUCAAAGGAGUAAUCCGCUAUGAGAUGGACCCGCGGCGCAUUAGCUAGUUGGUGAGGUAACGGCUCACCAAGGCGACGAUGCGUAGCCGACCUGAGAGGGUGAUCGGCCACAUUGGAACUGAGAUACGGUCCAAACUCCUACGGGAGGCAGCAGUGGGGAAUAUUGCACAAUGGGCGAAAGCCUGAUGCAGCAACGCCGCGUGAGUGAUGAAGGCCUUCGGAUUGUAAAGCUCUGUCUUUGGGGACGAUAAUGACGGUACCCAAGGAGGAAGCCACGGCUAACUACGUGCCAGCAGCCGCGGUAAUACGUAGGUGGCAAGCGUUGUCCGGAUUUACUGGGCGUAAAGGAUGCGUAGGUGGAUAUUUAAGUCAGAUGUGAAAUACCCGAGCUUAACUUGGGAACUGCAUUUGAAACUGAAUAUCUAGAGUGCAGGAGAGGUAAGUGGAAUUCCUAGUGUAGCGGUGAAAUGCGUAGAGAUUAGGAAGAACACCAGUGGCGAAGGCGACUUACUGGACUGUAACUGACACUGAGGCAUGAAAGCGUGGGGAGCAAACAGGAUUAGAUACCCUGGUAG